This 484-nucleotide ribosomal RNA is filed under the name uncultured bacterium. Its description in RNAcentral is "partial 16S ribosomal RNA". It matches the Rfam family "Bacterial small subunit ribosomal RNA", at positions 30 to 507 of the family's 1533-position model. The record is from RNAcentral.
AUUGAACGCUGGCGGCAGGCCUAACACAUGCAAGUCGAGCGGAUGAAGGGAGCUUGCUCCUGGAUUCAGCGGCGGACGGGUGAGUAAUGCCUAGGAAUCUGCCUGGUCGUGGGGGAUAACGUCCGGUAACGGGCGCUAAUACCGCAUACGUCCUGAGAGAGAAAGGGGGGGUUCUUCGGACCUCACGCUAUCAGAUGAGCCUAGGUCGGAUUAGCUAGUUGGUGGGGUAAAGGCCUACCAAGGCGACGAUCCGUAACUGGUCUGAGAGGAUGAUCAGUCACACUGGAACUGAGACACGGUCCAGACUCCUACGGGAGGCAGCAGUGGGGAAUAUUGGACAAUGGGCGAAAGCCUGAUCCAGCCAUGCCGCGUGUGUGAAGAAGGUCUUCGGAUUGUAAAGCACUUUAAGUUGGGAGGAAGGGCAGUAAGUUAAUACCUGGCUGUUUUGACGUUACCAACAGAAUAAGCACCGGCUAACUUCGUG